Molecule: ribosomal RNA, 449 nt
Filed under: uncultured bacterium
Lineage: Bacteria
Description: partial 16S ribosomal RNA
Rfam family: Bacterial small subunit ribosomal RNA
Source: RNAcentral
AAUGAACGCUGGCGGCAGGCCUAACACAUGCAAGUCGAACGAGACCUUCGGGUCUAGUGGCGCACGGGUGCGUAACGCGUGGGAAUCUACCCUUGGGUUCGGAAUAACAGUUAGAAAUGACUGCUAAUACCGGAUGAUGACGUAAGUCCAAAGAUUUAUCGCCCAAGGAUGAGCCCGCGUAAGAUUAGCUUGUUGGUGGGGUAAUGGCCUACCAAGGCGACGAUCUUUAGCUGGUCUGAGAGGAUGAUCAGCCACACUGGGACUGAGACACGGCCCAGACUCCUACGGGAGGCAGCAGUGGGGAAUAUUGGACAAUGGGCGAAAGCCUGAUCCAGCAAUGCCGCGUGAGUGAUGAAGGCCUUAGGGUUGUAAAGCUCUUUUACCAGGGAUGAUAAUGACAGUACCUGGAGAAUAAGCUCCGGCUAACUCCGUGCCAGCAGCCGCCGUAA